CCUUCACAUUUCUUUUUCAUAUUUCAGGCACUUAUACCCAUUUAAAAGCAUCUGAGCAGAAUUAGAGAAAACCGUGGAAGAGGAGGAUGAGAUGUGCGAAAGAGAGGGUGGUAGAGGAGCAGGAGGCUGUUUACCACUGCUUUGCAAACAGAUGCCCUGAAGUACCAGUCCACAGGAAUAGAAAGCUUAGGGCCAGAGACCAAAAGAGCUGUUUCUGCGAGAGACUUGAUGAGCCUCUGCGGGCAAGGAGCAGGGCUUGGGGGCGGCUCUGUGCGCCCUUGCCUUCCGCUGCAGGCCCCCAGCCGUGGGAGUGCUGAGAACCGGCAGCCCUGGCCCAGCCCUCAGCCUUCCCCAGUGGGGUAUUGUCAACGCGGGCAACAGCAAAGCCCUUGGAAGCAACUCCAAGGUUACUGAGCAUCGACUAAGAGGAUGCUGGACAUCUGAGAGGGCUAAGAGGAAGAAGAAGACUCAGUGUAAGUACAUGCGAU
Molecule: long non-coding RNA, 488 nt
Filed under: Dasypus novemcinctus (nine-banded armadillo)
Lineage: Eukaryota; Metazoa; Chordata; Mammalia; Cingulata; Dasypodidae
Description: lncRNA (ENSDNOG00000052073.1)
Source: RNAcentral